UGUGGUUUAAUUCGAAGCAACGCGAAGAACCUUACCAGGUCUUGACAUCGAUCUAAAAGGGAUGGAGACAUCCUCAUAGCUAUAGAGAAGACAGGUGGUGCAGGUUGUCGUCAGCUCGUGUCGUGAGAUGUUGGGUUAAGUCCCGCAACGAGCGCAACCCCUGUCGCCAGUUACCAUCAUUAAGUUGGGGACUCUGGCGAGACUGCCUCUGCAAGGAGGA
RNAcentral lists this ribosomal RNA (220 nucleotides) under uncultured bacterium. RNAcentral describes it as "partial 16S ribosomal RNA". It matches the Rfam family "Bacterial small subunit ribosomal RNA", at positions 940 to 1167 of the family's 1533-position model. The record is from RNAcentral.